This 497-nucleotide ribosomal RNA is filed under the name uncultured Gammaproteobacteria bacterium. RNAcentral's name for it is "bacterial SSU rRNA". It matches the Rfam family "Bacterial small subunit ribosomal RNA", at positions 324 to 813 of the family's 1533-position model. Lineage: Bacteria; Pseudomonadati; Pseudomonadota; Gammaproteobacteria. The record is from RNAcentral.
ACACGGUCCAGACUCCUACGGGAGGCAGCAGUGGGGAAUAUUGGACAAUGGGCGAAAGCCUGAUCCAGCCAUGCCGCGUGUGUGAAGAAGGUCUUCGGAUUGUAAAGCACUUUAAGUUGGGAGGAAGGGUUGUAGAUUAAUACUCUGCAAUCUUGACGUUACCGACAGAAUAAGCACCGGCUAACUCUGUGCCAGCAGCCGCGGUAAUACAGAGGGUGCAAGCGUUAAUCGGAAUUACUGGGCGUAAAGCGCGCGUAGGUGGUUUGUUAAGUUGGAUGUGAAAGCCCCGGGCUCAACCUGGGAACUGCAUUCAAAACUGACAAGCUAGAGUAUGGUAGAGGGUGGUGGAAUUUCCUGUGUAGCGGUGAAAUGCGUAGAUAUAGGAAGGAACACCAGUGGCGAAGGCGACCACCUGGACUGAUACUGACACUGANGUGCGAAAGCGUGGGGAGCAAACAGGAUUAGAUACCCUGGUAGUCCACGCCGUAAACGAUGUC